RNAcentral lists this non-coding RNA (174 nucleotides) under Lachnospiraceae bacterium. Its description in RNAcentral is "6S RNA". It matches the Rfam family "6S / SsrS RNA". Rfam says of the family: E. coli 6S RNA was the first non coding RNA to be sequenced, but its function was unknown until recently. The record is from RNAcentral. Lineage: Bacteria; Bacillati; Bacillota; Clostridia; Lachnospirales; Lachnospiraceae.
CAGCACCUGAAAUGUUUGACAAUCUUACCAAUUUUGAACCUGCAAAUAUCUGACAGGGAGACUUUAUUUCUGUGAGGAUGUCAGGCCGCCUCGAGCGGAAGGCAGAUGGACAGAUGCGGUCACCCACCUGGCACAGCCAGGCGUCAAUACGUAAGACCGGCAUUUCGGGGCUGU